GUUAAUAUAGCUUAAUUAAAAAGCAAAGCACUGAAAAUGCUUAGACGGUCUUCAGACCUAUUGAC
RNAcentral lists this transfer RNA (65 nucleotides) under Euchoreutes naso (Long-eared jerboa). RNAcentral's name for it is "tRNA-Phe". It matches the Rfam family "tRNA". Rfam says of the family: Transfer RNA (tRNA) molecules are approximately 80 nucleotides in length. The record is from RNAcentral. Lineage: Eukaryota; Metazoa; Chordata; Mammalia; Rodentia; Dipodidae.